RNAcentral lists this ribosomal RNA (484 nucleotides) under uncultured bacterium. RNAcentral describes it as "partial 16S ribosomal RNA". It matches the Rfam family "Bacterial small subunit ribosomal RNA", at positions 30 to 507 of the family's 1533-position model. The record is from RNAcentral.
AUUGAACGCUGGCGGCAUGCCUAACACAUGCAAGUCGAGCGAACGAAGGGGGCUUACUCCCGGAUGCAGCGGCAGCCGGUUGAGUAAUUCCUAUGAGUCUGCCUUAAAUUGGGGGAUAACGUCCGUAUACGGACGCUGAUAUCCCAUACGACCUGAUAUUGAAACUGGUGGUUCUUUCGUCCUCACGCUAUCAUAUGAGCCUAGAUCUUGUCAACUAGUCGGUGGGGUAAAUGGAUACCAAGGCGACGAUCCGUAACUGGUAUGAGAGGAUGAUCAGUCACACUGGAAGUGAGACACGUUCCAGACUCCUACGGGAGGCAGCAGUGGGGAAUAUUGCGCAAUGGGCGAAAGCCUGAUGCAGCGAUGCCGCGUGUGUGAUGAAGGUCUUCGGAUUGUAAAGCACUGUAAGUUGGGAGGAAGGGAAGUACGUUAAUACAUGGCUGUCUUGACGUUACCAAGAGAAUAAGCACCGGCUAACUUCGUG